Molecule: long non-coding RNA, 4962 nt
Organism: Gallus gallus (chicken)
Lineage: Eukaryota; Metazoa; Chordata; Aves; Galliformes; Phasianidae
Source: Ensembl
GUUUAAGGAAUUUUCUUCCCUCUUCCCUGUGCUUUAAAUAGCUGCUGUGCCGGUCACUAGUGGCUGUGUGUGACGAAGUCUAGCUUAUGCCAGUAUAGAGUGGAAGAGCAACUUACUCUGCAGCAAAAGACUUGAUGACUUCUGACAAGCUCUUCUUAGGUCAUGUUCUGCAAGCUCUGUGCCUGCACUCUGUCUGGUUUCAUAGCUCAAGUAUAGCAUCGUGUACAGGUACAUCGUUUAUACUGUAACCUUUUCUCAUUUGGAGAUUGUGUUGAGGAUACGUCCUUGCAUGAACAGGGAGGAGCAAACCAUGGGAGGUGUGCUUUGUUUUGAGGACGCGUCUCUUAAGCUUCAGUGCAUCUCACGUGGGUCACGAGCAGUUGAUUAACACUUUGAGUUUUAGGGGGGAAAAAAAGGAUGUUUUAUAGGGUCUGAAGGUGGGGUUUAGAAGAUGGGCAUUCAUUUCUUUUAUUUUCUUUAAGUGAUAUUUAAGCAUAAAUAUACAGGUGAACUUAUCUCAGCCUCUGACUGCUGAGGGUACUUCCAGAGAAUUAAAAGCAUGGAAUGCUGUGUAUUCCUGUAAAAAGGCAUACUUCAGGAUCUUUGAACAUUAUGGCAGCACUGAAAAUGUGAAUCUCUAGAGGUGAGGUGAGUUUAAAAAAAAAAAAAAAAAGCUAAUGAACUCAUCUAACUUUCAGCUGCAUUUAUUCAGGUAUAAUCUUGCAGUUCUGAAUGCAUGUUGUAACGUUACUAAUUGGUGUAGUAAUGUCCCUAGUUCGUAUAAUACUGAAAGGGCAUUAUGCAAAUGUUGUGUAUAUCGUGAUUUUAUCCUGAAGUGCUUGACUGGAAUGGAGGAGAGAUGAAAAGAAGAAAGACAACAUGUGGUUAUUCCCAUUUAACAAGCUUAGUCUAAGAACAUGCGGAGUGGGAAUUGUUGUACAUGUGUUUCUUGUGCCAGUAUGCCUCAGAAAUCCACUUAAUUGCUAAAGUAAGCAUAACUAAGAUGGCAUUUCUUGCUUCUAGAAAUGAACGCUAGUGUACUAUUUGCUCAGUUUGCUUUUGUAGUGCCUUAGCGGUUUCUGAUUAGUUACAGCAGCACGUGAAACUGUUUCUGUCCUAAAUGCUCAGUUAUUGGAAGUCAAGUAAGAUAGGAGGCAGCCUUUUACCAGAGCUUCUGUUAAUGAAUGCUUAAUACCUCCUUUGGUAGGUAAACAGAGCGCAGAUCUUCUAUCAAAAUCAAAACUGCAUUAAUGCAGUCCUGCCGAACUGCGUGGCAAAGCAAGAGAUGAUGUGUUACAAGGCAGUAACCUGUCUGCACUGGUUUUGUGUGAUGUUGCUUGCAAAUCGGAGCUGCCAAGUUCUACUUCAUGUAUAUCUGUAUCUGCUGAAAGGUAGGCUUGUGUAAGAUACCAUGCUGAGCACUUCAUUUGAAGCCCACUGCUUGGAAAGAUCUGGGAACAGUAUGCUGCUUACCCAGAUGAUGUCACUGGUGAAGUCUUGUUCAAACAUCAAAUUGUGCCUGCCAAGGGUAAGGACUUUCUAAAUGCUGAGGCAGGCUUUAUCUGUAACAUGACAUGCAUAGAAACGGCAAAAAGGUCAAGGAAAUUCUGUCAUUAGUGAAGUCCUUAACUAACAACAGAGAGUUGAUUUUAGGUAUGCUCAUUAACAUCUAAGGCUUAGCACUGCCUUUGAUCACUGGCUUUCAAUACAGGUUGCUUGUUCUAUGGUUGCCUUUACCCACAGUGGGGAGUGCUCUACCACAUAGCAGAGGCGGGUGCUCACUGGGGAGGGUUUUGAGAACAAAGAUCAGGCUUUCUGCUGGAACAGCCCGUGAAAAAUGUAGAAGUAAUCAAAAAAGUAUUGAGUUUCCUACUGUACAACUCUAAGUCAAACAUGAGCAGGAGGAGUCCUGUGAUUACAGUGCAGCAAGGCCCAUGCAAGACCAUAGGAGAACUGGCUGGAGAGGAAAUAAGGGAGCAGUAAUGCAAAUGGGUUUACUGGGGAAGAGGAGUGGAUUCUGGGGACUGCAACAGAAACAAUUGUGCUGCUGGACUGACUACAGUUGUGCUGGAGAGCUGUUCUGAAUGAGCGUAGACAAUCAAAUGCUUCAUCAAAGCUGAAGUCCAGCUCCUAGGUGGAGGUCACAGUCAUCUUUGGAAGGUGUAACUCUCAGAUUUCCAAGUCUGGACCACGUGGGCUAAACUCGAAGAAAUUCAGAAAGUCUGAGAAGAGUCUUCAGCCUCUGAAGCUGUUCUAUGUGUAUGUGCCACCACGUGCUCAGUUUUCAAUGGAUGCAAUGGAUGUAAGUCAUGACUCAUCUGACACAAACCAGUAAUUUGCAUGCCAAAUUGAAAAACAGUGCCUGAAGACAAAUGCAUAGAGAACUGACCUCAGCCUAGAGAUCUGAUAAAGUAUGCUUAAAAAAACCCACACGUAUUCUUAGAAUCUCCCUGGAUUUUUGUGCUGCUGUUUCUGAGAUAGGUGGCUCCAGAUGACAGUUGGGUUACUGCUUUGCAAGACGUGUACUUCCAGUCUUACUGAAAUCCCAUUUCCCUAGAUAGUCUGUUUGUUCUGUUAUUUACAUUGCUGAUAACUCUUGAAUAGGCUUAAAACAGAAAAGCUGGUUUUGUAUCGAAUUAGGGCUUAAAAAAAUGCAGAUGUGAAGGAGGAGAUGAUACAAAACAUACAAUUUCUGAGGCCUUGGUGCAAAACUUGGAAAGAUAUUUAAAAGAAAACAUUCAUUUUCCAGGAUCCUAAUGAGGAGCAGUCUCCUCUAGAAUGACUACAUAUCUGGAAUUGUUUUGAAUUCUUUGACUGACUUUAACAGCUUCUUUGGAAUAAUGUUAAUGUAAGCUACUUUUAUGGUAAUCUUGGGUGAGUUAAAACCUGUAAUGCCAUCUGCCUUGACGGUUGAAUGGCGAAAUACAUACUCUCUUAAUGUUAUUAAAAGUCCACAGACUCAAGUCUGGUGAGACCAGAAUGGUAUGGAUUCCAACAACAACAACAACAAAGUGCUUUUCUUCAUUCUGUGUAUACCUUGGUGAGAUGGAAAGAAACGGACAUCUUUGCUCUUCCUCUGUGUAGUGUGGGGAUGUGGAGUAGAUUUGUGUAGGAACUGACUCCUCCAAGGACUACAUGUUUUCUUUUUCUUUUGCUCAGCUUGGAUCUUCAGCUGCUUUUGCCUGUGGACUGGUCACACAUACCUUAAGGAGCUGCCUUUGUUGGCCUUGAAUUUUCAAACCCCCUGGUUUUCAUAAAAUGUUAAGGGUUAUAGCGUAGCAGUAGGGCCCAGGGUGUAGAAGGGAGCGAAACGUUUCAGAGCAGGAGAGCUGGAGACUGUAGGCAUAGGAAAGAGCUGGAGUAUAGAGUAUUAGAGAAGGGGUGGCACUGAUAGCAGAGAGACCCUACUGUAAAGGUAGAUAUGGCUAAUAACACGUAGAGUACAAGGAAGGAUAAUAAAUCUGACAUCCUCAGCUUGUCUUUUUUUAAUGACAGUUUAAGCAUGGAAAACAGUAUAUUUUUUUUUUGCCAAAGGAGCAAAAAACUGGUCACUUCACAGGUGAGGCAGUAACUGUGAGCUGCCCUGUAGGAUCUGUUGGAAGAAAGCCGGAGAAAUGACAAAAGCAAGGAAGCGGCAUGGGAAUGAUGAGCAGGUCAGCACACUGGAGAAGCAAAAUGAGGACAGUAGACGGGAAGGUAGAAGAAACAGUGAAAGAGGAGGCUGCAGCUGAAAAGGGGGGAAUUGUAAAAGGACACAGAAUUGUGGAGGAAAGAUAGACAGAAACAUGAAAUAAUGAAAGACUGCAGGUAAGCAACUUGUUCUCUGUGCCAAUCCUUCCUCUCUUCCUCCUGGACACGGCAGAACAAAACAUACUAGCAUGCAGUGGAGCACAGCAAUGAAAAAAAUACACGCAAAAGAUGAACAGAUUGACUUUCCAAGUACUGUUGGUGUUCUUUAGUAAUGAUUUUUUUUUUUCCGGAUCAUUUCUUUCUAUAUCAUGUACAAAGAAAAGACUCACUUUGCUUACCUUAAUGCAUUGAUUCGAAUCAAAUUCUCACCAAGAGCAUGAGCAGGUGAUAAAUUCUCUUGCUUUCAACUGUUUUUUUUGGAGUGAAGUUUGUAAAAAAAAAAAAAUACCUUACGUUGCUGGACUGUUGUCUGGGAGCUUUUCUCCUGCACUGCCUGAAAUACUGAAGUAUGUCAGAGGCUGUGUUUCUGCACAGCUUUGUAUGAUUCAAAGCUAACAGGCAGACUGCUCUGCAGCAGUAAUAUGAAAGAUCCUGUGCGUGUAGGGAAGGUGGUUAUGUGACAAGAAAAUAUUGACAGUGUUUGGUUGCCUUGUUUAUAUCACUGGUUAACAGAAAAUAAGCACAGCAAGCAGUCAGAAAUGUUCCAUUUGGAUGUUAAAUGUGCACCUGGUGCAGAAGUGCCUCUACACGGCAGGAACCUGCAGGGCUUUGCACAGCUGUAAAGUUAAUGGACACUGAAUGCCUGGCUCUCCUUAACUAUUUCCACCUGCUUUGCCUGGCUCAUGCUCCUUUGAGUUCAGCUAAGCCAUCCUGAUUUGUAUUUGAUUAACUAAGAGGGAAUUAAGGCCCGUGUGUUUUCUCCCUUAAUCGUUUCUACAGUAUUCUGAGUUAACAUGAGAUAUUUGUUUGGGCAGUGUUUAUAUGUGAGGUUGGGAUGUCUCUCUGCUCCUCCUUCUUGUGUAUGUAGCCCCUGCUCGAAGCUAAUGAGUAACACUGGUAUAGCAGCCACAAACUCAUCAUGCAGAUUACUGUUUGAACCUGAGAUCAGUGCCAUGCUCUACAUCUUACUUCUCAUAUUCGCUGCUGGCGUUGUUACAGUAAUUAAUGGCACCCAGUCCUGAAAAAAAAAUGACCUCUCCUGUUCAUUAGGAAGUGAUUACCGUGAGGGGCUGCUAUUAAAUGAGCCGGCAUAGCUGCACUUAAUCAGACCAG